Molecule: ribosomal RNA, 216 nt
Filed under: Glomeromycotina sp.
Lineage: Eukaryota; Fungi; Glomeromycota
Description: partial small subunit ribosomal RNA
Rfam family: Eukaryotic small subunit ribosomal RNA (bases 40-216)
Source: RNAcentral
GGGUCAGUAGGUUGGUCGUGCCACCGGUACGUACUGGUCUCACUGAUUCCUCCUUCCUGAAGAACCGUAAUGCCAUUAAUUUGGUGUUGCGGGGAAACAGGACUGUUACUUUGAAAAAAUUAGAGUGUUUAAAGCAAGCUAACACUCGAAUACAUUAGCAUGGAAUAAUGAAAUAGGACGAUCGAUCCUAUUUUGUUGGUUUCUAGGAUUGACGUA